RNAcentral lists this ribosomal RNA (467 nucleotides) under uncultured bacterium. RNAcentral describes it as "partial 16S ribosomal RNA". It matches the Rfam family "Bacterial small subunit ribosomal RNA", at positions 28 to 523 of the family's 1533-position model. The record is from RNAcentral.
GACGAACGCUGGCGGCGUGCUUAACACAUGCAAGUCGAGCGAGGAACUUCGGUUCCUAGCGGCGGACGGGUGAGUAACACGUGGGCAACCUGCCUCACAAUGGGGGAUAGCCUUCCGAAAGGAAGAUUAAUACCCCAUAAUACAAAGGAAACGCAUGUUUCUUUUGCCAAAGAAUUUCGUUGUGAGAUGGGCCCGCGGCGCAUUAGCUUGUUGGUGAGGUAACGGCUCACAAAGGCUUCGAUGCGUAGCCGACCUGAGAGGGUGAUCGGCCACAUUGGAACUGAGACACGGUCCAGACUCCUACGGGAGGCAGCAGUGGGGAAUAUUGCACAAUGGAGGAAACUCUGAUGCAGCAACGCCGCGUGAGUGAUGAAGGUCUUCGGAUUGUAAAGCUCUGUCUUCUGGGACGAUAAUGACGGUACCAGAGGAGGAAGCCACGGCUAACUACGUGCCAGCCGCCGCGGUAA